UCAGGGACAAGCCCUGGAAACGGGGUCUAAUACCGGAUACUGAUCCGUCUGGGCAUCCAGACGGUUCGAAAGCUCCGGCGGUGCAGGAUGAGCCCGCGGCCUAUCAGCUUGUUGGUGAGGUAGUGGCUCACCAAGGCGACGACGGGUAGCCGGCCUGAGAGGGCGACCGGCCACACUGGGACUGAGACACGGCCCAGACUCCUACGGGAGGCAGCAGUGGGGAAUAUUGCACAAUGGGCGAAAGCCUGAUGCAGCGACGCCGCGUGAGGGAUGACGGCCUUCGGGUUGUAAACCUCUUUCAGCAGGGAAGAAGCGAAAGUGACGGUACCUGCAGAAGAAGCGCCGGCUAACUACGUGCCAGCAGCCGCGGUAAUACGUAGGGCGCGAGCGUUGUCCGGAAUUAUUGGGCGUAAAGAGCUCGUAGGCGGCUUGUCACGUCGGUUGUGAAAGCCCGGGGCUUAACCCCGGGUCUGCAGUCGAUACGGGCAGGCUAGAGUUCGGUAGGGGAGAUCGGAAUUCCUGGUGUAGCGGUGAAAUGCGCAGAUAUCAGGAGGAACACCGGUGGCGAAGGCGGAUCUCUGGGCCGAUACUGACGCUGAGGAGCGAAAGCGUGGGGAGCGAACAGGAUUAGAUACCCUGGUAGUCCACGCCGUAAACGGUGGGCACUAGGUGUGGGCAACAUUCCACGUUGUCCGUGCCGCAGCUAACGCAUUAAGUGCCCCGCCUGG
This 728-nucleotide ribosomal RNA is filed under the name Streptomyces sp. Its description in RNAcentral is "bacterial SSU rRNA". It matches the Rfam family "Bacterial small subunit ribosomal RNA", at positions 137 to 876 of the family's 1533-position model. The record is from RNAcentral. Lineage: Bacteria; Bacillati; Actinomycetota; Actinomycetes; Kitasatosporales; Streptomycetaceae.